RNAcentral lists this transfer RNA (75 nucleotides) under Bacteroidetes bacterium ADurb.Bin217. Its description in RNAcentral is "tRNA-Arg". It matches the Rfam family "tRNA". Rfam says of the family: Transfer RNA (tRNA) molecules are approximately 80 nucleotides in length. Their secondary structure includes four short double-helical elements and three loops (D, anti-codon, and T loops). Further hydrogen bonds mediate the characteristic L-shaped molecular structure. tRNAs have two regions of fundamental functional importance: the anti-codon, which is responsible for specific mRNA codon recognition, and the 3' end, to which the tRNAs corresponding amino acid is attached (by aminoacyl-tRNA synthetases). tRNAs cope with the degeneracy of the genetic code in two manners: having more than one tRNA (with a specific anti-codon) for a particular amino acid; and 'wobble' base-pairing, i.e. permitting non-standard base-pairing at the 3rd anti-codon position. The record is from RNAcentral. Lineage: Bacteria; Pseudomonadati; Bacteroidota.
GGCUCCGUAGCUUAAUUGGAUAGAGCAUCUGACUACGGAUCAGAAGGUUGGGGGUUCGAGUCUCUCCGGAGUCAC